Molecule: ribosomal RNA, 500 nt
Filed under: uncultured bacterium
Lineage: Bacteria
Description: partial 16S ribosomal RNA
Rfam family: Bacterial small subunit ribosomal RNA
Source: RNAcentral
ACUCAAAGGAAUUGACGGGGGCCCGCACAAGCGGUGGAACAUGUGGUUUAAUUCGACGCAACGCGAAGAACCUUACCUACCCUUGACAUGCUCGGAAUCUAGCAGAGAUGUUGGAGUGCCUUCGGGAGCCGAGACACAGGUGCUGCAUGGCUGUCGUCAGCUCGUGUCGUGAGAUGUUGGGUUAAGUCCCGUAACGAGCGCAACCCCUAUAGUUAGUUGCCACCAGGUAAAGCUGGGAACUCUAAGUAGACUGCCGGUGACAAGCCGGAGGAAGGUGGGGAUGACGUCAAGUCCUCAUGGCCCUUACGGGUAGGGCAACACACGUGUUACAAUGGAGAGUACAGAGGGAAGCGAAGUCGCGAGAUGGAGCGAAUCCUGAUAAAGCUGUUCGUAGUCCGGAUUGGAGUCUGCAACUCGACUCCAUGAAGUUGGAAUCGCUAGUAAUCGCGGAUCAGAACGCCGCGGUGAAUACGUUCCCGGGCCUUGCACACACCGCCCGU